UAGGGAAUCUUCCGCAAUGGGCGAAAGCCUGACGGAGCAACGCCGCGUGAGUGAUGAAGGUCUUCGGAUUGUAAAACUCUGUUAUUAGGGAAGAAAAAAUGUGUAAGUAACUAUGCAUGUCUUGACGGUACCUAAUCAGAAAGCAACGGCUAACUACGUGCCAGCAGCCGCGGUAAUACGUAGGUGGCAAGCGUUAUCCGGAAUUAUUGGGCGUAAAGCGCGCGUAGGCGGUUUUUUAAGACUGAUGUGAAAGCCCAAGGCUCAACCGUGGAGGGGCAUUGGAAACUGGACAUCUUGAGUGCAGAAGAGAAAGGUGGAAUUCCAUGUGUAGCGGUGAAAUGCGCAGAGAUAUGGAGGAACACCAGUGGCGAAGGCGACUUUCUGGUCUGUAACUGACGCUAAUGUGCGAAAGCGUGGGGAUCAAACAGG
Molecule: ribosomal RNA, 429 nt
Filed under: Actinomycetes bacterium
Lineage: Bacteria; Bacillati; Actinomycetota; Actinomycetes
Description: Actinobacteria bacterium partial 16S ribosomal RNA
Rfam family: Bacterial small subunit ribosomal RNA
Source: RNAcentral